GCCUGACCCAGCAACGCCGCGUGAAGGAAGAAGGCUUUCGGGUUGUAAACUUCUUUUGUCAGGGACGAAGCAAGUGACGGUACCUGACGAAUAAGCCACGGCUAACUACGUGCCAGCAGCCGCGGUAAUACGUAGGUGGCAAGCGUUAUCCGGAUUUAUUGGGUGUAAAGGGCGUGUAGGCGGGAUUGCAAGUCAGAUGUGAAAACUGGGGGCUCAACCUCCAGCCUGCAUUUGAAACUGUAGUUCUUGAGUGUCGGAGAGGCAAUCGGAAUUCCGUGUGUAGCGGUGAAAUGCGUAGAUAUACGGAGGAACACCAGUGGCGAAGGCGGAUUGCUGGA
RNAcentral lists this ribosomal RNA (338 nucleotides) under uncultured bacterium. RNAcentral's name for it is "bacterial SSU rRNA". It matches the Rfam family "Bacterial small subunit ribosomal RNA", at positions 381 to 733 of the family's 1533-position model. The record is from RNAcentral.